ACCGAGUCUCAAAGCUGUGGCCACUCUC
RNAcentral lists this small RNA (28 nucleotides) under Bombyx mori (domestic silkworm). RNAcentral's name for it is "ovarian small RNA-11301". Lineage: Eukaryota; Metazoa; Arthropoda; Insecta; Lepidoptera; Bombycidae. The record is from RNAcentral.